Long non-coding RNA from Arvicola amphibius (Eurasian water vole), 677 nucleotides. RefSeq lists it as uncharacterized. Lineage: Eukaryota; Metazoa; Chordata; Mammalia; Rodentia; Cricetidae. The transcript has 2 exons. The record is from RefSeq and is a predicted model, not a curated record.
CUCAAGGAUCCCGAAUUAUAGGCUCAAUGUCCUUUAAUUAUGGCUAGAAACCGAUUAUGAGUGUCCAAUGUGAGUAGCAGCUGGUAGAUUCUGGGCAAGGCUUGGUACAGCCUGGAAAGUCUCUCAAACUCUCCUGUGCAGCCUCUGAAUUCAUCUUCUGUGACUAUAGCAUGGACUGGGUCCGCAAGGCUCCAGAGAAUGGACUGGAUUGUGUUGCUUAUAUUAGUGAUGGUAGUGUUACCAUCUACCAUGCCGACACUGUGAAAGGCUGAUUCACCAUCUCCAGAGGCAAUGCCAAGAGCACCCUGUACCUGCAAAUGAGCAGUCUGAGGUCUGAGGACACAGCCAUGCAUUAAAGAGUCACCAAGAUAAAAUUACUGUGAGCUAAGACACAAACCUCCCUGCAAGGUGCUCAGGACCAGCAGGAGGAGCUGAGAGCACACAGCUCGGGUCACAGAAGAACCUGCUCAGAAGGGGGUACAAUGUUGAACUCCUCUGUGUCUUGACUGCUUCUCUAUAUCACAAUCAGGGAUCCCCUCUACAGAUACUAUAUAUAGUAACUCUUGAUGAGUCCACACAUUUAUUUAAAUUUCUGCUUUUGUUUUAGUUAGGGUUUACGUUGCUGUGAAGAGACAGCAUGACAUUGUCAACAAUUAUAAAGGAAAGCAUUUAAUUCA